Molecule: unclassified non-coding RNA, 378 nt
Filed under: plant metagenome
Description: partial contains 5.8S ribosomal RNA, internal transcribed spacer 2, and large subunit ribosomal RNA
Rfam family: 5.8S ribosomal RNA (bases 1-105)
Source: RNAcentral
GAAAUGCGAUAAGUAAUGUGAAUUGCAGAAUUCAGUGAAUCAUCGAAUCUUUGAACGCACCUUGCGCUCCUUGGUAUUCCUUGGAGCAUGCCUGUUUGAGUAUCAUGAAAUCUUCAAAGAAAAUCUUUUGUUAACUCAAUUGGCUUCUACUUUGGUAUUGGAGGUCUUUGCAGCUUCACACCUGCUCCUCUUUGUUCAUUAGCUGGAUCUCAGUGUUAUGCUUGGUUCCACUCGGCGUGAUAAGUUAUCUAUCGCUGAGGACACUGUAAAAGGUGGCCAAGGUAAAUGCAGAUGAACCGCUUCUAAUAGUCCAUUGACUUGGACAAUACUUUUAUGAUCUGAUCUCAAAUCAGGUAGGACUACCCGCUGAACUUAAGC